RNAcentral lists this ribosomal RNA (696 nucleotides) under Triticum aestivum (bread wheat). RNAcentral's name for it is "partial small subunit ribosomal RNA". The record is from RNAcentral. Lineage: Eukaryota; Viridiplantae; Streptophyta; Magnoliopsida; Poales; Poaceae.
AUGGGGAUGGUGGAGGUGGAGUCAACUUACUCUUGGGAAUGGUUUCUCACCACUUUGAAUAAUGAUUUAAACAUCAUUAACACCUCACCUUUCACUAUAAUGAGUGAUAAGCAAAAGGGUUUGAUCAAUGCUGUUGAGAAGAUAUGGCCAGAUGCAGAACACAGAUUUUGUGUUAGACAUUUUUAUCAAAACAUCCACCAGAAGUUCAAAGGGGAAACACUGAAGAAUAUAUUGUGGGCCAUUGCUAGGUCAACUAAUAUGGACAAGUGGACCUUGAACAGAGAGAAGCUGAGGGCACAGAACUUGGAGGCAUAUAAUUGGUUGGAUGGCAAGACCCCCAACCAGUGGGUGAAAGCAUACUUUAGAGAUUUCCCCAAGUGUGACAUCUUGCUGAACAACAUGUUAGAGGUGUACAACAGCUACAUCUUGGAUGCAAGAGAAUUGUGUGUUACAUCAAUGCUAGAAUGCAUAAUACAUAGAAUUACUAUGAGGCAUGACAGAAAGUACAAAGAAGCUUCAAAAAAGUGGACUGGACUUAUCUGCCCCAAGAUUAGGAAGAAACUGGACAAGAAUGCAGAGUACUCAGGUAACUGCUUUCCAACACAUUCAGGACUUGGCAUUUAUGGUGUUGAAUCAGGUAACAACAAGUAUGUUGUGGAUAUUCCAGCCAGAACUUGUGAUUGCAAAAAAAUUUAG